This 254-nucleotide ribosomal RNA is filed under the name uncultured bacterium. Its description in RNAcentral is "partial 16S ribosomal RNA". It matches the Rfam family "Bacterial small subunit ribosomal RNA", at positions 524 to 776 of the family's 1533-position model. The record is from RNAcentral.
UACGGAGGGUGCAAGCGUUAUCCGGAUUCACUGGGUUUAAAGGGUGCGUAGGCGGGCAGGUAAGUCCGUGGUGAAAUCUCUGAGCUUAACUCAGAAACUGCCAUGGAUACUAUUUGUCUUGAAUAUUGUGGAGGUAAGCGGAAUAUGUCAUGUAGCGGUGAAAUGCUUAGAUAUGACAUAGAACACCAAUUGCGAAGGCAGCUUACUACACAGUUAUUGACGCUGAGGCACGAAAGCGUGGGGAUCAAAACAGG